Molecule: ribosomal RNA, 919 nt
Filed under: Cyclidium glaucoma
Lineage: Eukaryota; Ciliophora; Oligohymenophorea; Pleuronematida; Cyclidiidae
Description: bacterial SSU rRNA
Rfam family: Eukaryotic small subunit ribosomal RNA
Source: RNAcentral
UAUAAAUAGAAUACAGUGAAACUGCGAAUGGCUCAUUAAAACAGUUAUGGUUUAUUUGAUAAUUGAAGUCUACAUGGAUAACCGUGGUAAUUCUAGAGCUAAUACAUGCAUCAAGACCCGACGCAAGAAGGGUUGUAUUUAUUAGAUAUUAAGCCAAUAUUCCGCAAGGUCUAUUGUGGUGAAUCAUAGUAACUGAUCGAAUCCCCCGCAAUUGAACGGGGGAUAAAUCAUUCAAGUUUCUGCCCUAUCAGCUUUCGAUGGUAGUGUAUUGGACUACCAUGGCGGUGACGGGUAACGGAGAAUUAGGGUUCGAUUCCGGAGAGGGAGCCUGAGAAACGGCUACCACAUCUAAGGAAGGCAGCAGGCACGUAAAUUACCCAAUGCAGACCCUGCGAGGUAGUGACAAUACAUAACAACCUGGGGUCUCACGACUUACGGGAUUGCAAUGAGAACAAUUUAAAAACCUUAACGAGGAACAAGUGGAGGGCAAGUCUGGUGCCAGCAGCCGCGGUAAUUCCAGCUCCACUAGCGUAUAUUAAAGUUGUUGCAGUUAAAAAGCUCGUAGUUGAACUUCUGAUUGUUGCUAGUGUCGGUAUUUAUAUCGCACUCCCUUGGGCGACAGUCAUCCGUCUGCAAACUUUUACAUCCUUAACUGGUUUGUCUAAGGGAGCAGGCAUUUUACUUUGAAAAAAUUAGAGUGUUUAAGGCAGGCCACAAGCCUGAAUACAUUAGCAUGGAAUAAUGGAAUAGGACGCUUGUUCAUUUGUGAUUGGUUAUUGGACUCGCGUAAUGAUUAAUAGGGACAGUUGGGGGCAUUAGUAUUUAAUUGUCAGAGGUGAAAUUCUUGGAUUUAUUAAAGACUAACUUAUGCGAAAGCAUUUGCCAAGGAUGUUUUCAUUAAUCAAGAACGAAAGUUAGG